UACUUAUCUCCGUACGAUCAUCGAAGUUAAGCAACGUCGAGCCUGGUAAGUGCCUAGAUGGGUGUCCGCUUGGGAAUACCAGGUGCUGUAAG
Non-coding RNA from Acanthosepion pharaonis, 92 nucleotides. NCBI's taxonomy places the organism in Eukaryota, Metazoa, Mollusca, Cephalopoda, Sepiida, Sepiidae. The record is from the annotation of a GenBank genome assembly.